This 466-nucleotide ribosomal RNA is filed under the name uncultured bacterium. Its description in RNAcentral is "partial 16S ribosomal RNA". It matches the Rfam family "Bacterial small subunit ribosomal RNA", at positions 28 to 507 of the family's 1533-position model. The record is from RNAcentral.
GACGAACGCUGGCGGCGCGCCUAACACAUGCAAGUCGAACGAGCGAGAGAGAGCUUGCUUUCUCACGCGAGUGGCGAACGGGUGAGUAACGCGUGAGGAACCUGCCUCAAAGAGGGGGACAACAUUUGGAAACUACUGCUAAUACCGCAUAAGCCCACCGGUCGGCAUCGACCAGAGGGAAAAGGAGCAAUCCGCUUUGAGAUGGCCUCGCGUCCGAUUAGCUAGUUGGUGAGGUAACGGCCCACCAAGGCAACGAUCGGUAGCCGGACUGAGAGGUUGAACGGCCACAUUGGGAAUGAGACACGGCCCAGACUCCGACGGGAGGCAGCAGUGGGGAAUAUUGCACAAUGGGGGAAACCCUGAUGCAGCGACGCCGCGUGGAGGAAGAAGGUCUUCGGAUUGUAAACUCCUGUUGUAGAGGAAGAUAAUGACGGUACUCAACAAGGAAGUGACGGCUAACUACGUG